This 117-nucleotide non-coding RNA is filed under the name Cutibacterium acnes. The record is from RNAcentral. Lineage: Bacteria; Bacillati; Actinomycetota; Actinomycetes; Propionibacteriales; Propionibacteriaceae.
AGGGAACCCCGUGAGAAUCGGGGACUGACGCGCAGCGGUAACGCAGACGGGCGAGUAGCAAGCCACUGGGAACAACCCGGGAAGCGCUCGUUCGGAUGAUGCCAAGUCCGAAAACCU